UUCUCCAGGAACUGGGAAGCCGGUGGCGGCGGGGGGUUUUAGUUGGAGCUCGGGAGCCGCCCGCGGCUGCAGGAGAAAGUUUGCAACCAGCCGGGGCGGCGUGGCUGUCUCCCCAGCUCCCGGGGCUCGCUACUUCGUUCGCUCUCCAGCCUGCUGGGCUGCCGCGGGCUGCGGUCUUCGCGCAGCCUCCCCCUCUCCCUCCCUCGCUUGCUCGCUCUACGUAGCGCCCACGUAGGGUGUCAAGCGAAGUUUAAAAAGCUAGCCCGCAGGAGAGCGGCGCGGCGCAGCCGGGGGAUCUCCAUCGCCAGCGGGAGCGAAGCGGAGAGGAGAAGGCAGGGCGACUCUCCCCGGCUGGAGAUGAACCGCGGCUGAGGCUCAACUCCCGGCUCGCGGAGCUGCAGCAGGGGCGCGGGAUCGAUGGCAGCCUUUGGUCUGCGAGCCCGGCUCUAAGCGUCCCCGUGAGGCUGCGGACAUCCCCGGCUCCUUGGAGCAGCUCGGUUGCCUGCACCCCGAAGGGCUCCGCGCCCCCCGAGCUCUCUCUCCCUCCUUGCCGGGCGUCAGCACGGGCUCCGGCCGCCCUAGCCAUGGAGUACCUGCGAGUGUGGCUCGGCGUUUCGUUCGCCUUGGCGGAAUUCACUCCCUUGCCUUCCGUGCGCACUGGAGGUGCUUGUGUCUUCCAGGGCUCAUUGUUUUUGGUAGGUCAUUUUUAAUAUACUUGGUCUGUUUAUUUUGUGAGUAAAAUAAUUUCUGAAGGCUAGUCGGUGAAACAGUUGACCUUCUUAAUAUGCAUAUUUUCAUCUGCUGUUUGAAUAUUAUCUGCUAUCCCGACACAUUCAUACUCAUUUCCCUAGGGAAUACAAUCCACUGGAAAUGAAAUUCACUGCCCUUUUUUUCUUUGCAUUCUAAAGUGGCCAUGUUGCAUUCUUUCAGUCACAUAGAGGAAAUAAAAUCCUCAUAUUGAUGUCAGAUUCAAAUUAGGGUACAAUUUGUUCACCCUCCAGUUGGAUUGGUAUUUCCCCAUCCAUUCUCAUUCUAGUACCUUCCCAGUCUCUUUUAAUUCUAGUGCCUUUUGUUUAUUAUCUCCUACUUGUCCCUAUUUGUUUGGAUAUAUUUGUUUGCUUAUUUACCCAUUAGAUUGUGAGUUCCUCAAAAGUAGGGACUGUUUCUGUUCCCCCCCUUUUUGUACCCUUAGCAUUUUGCAUAAUGACUAGUAUAUGGGAGAUGCUUAAUGGUGGUUGUUAUUGAUUUGUUCUGAAAGAAUACCAAAAUGACAUUAAUGUGUUACAUUCAAGAUAUGAUGUCCCACUGUGGCUGAUCAGACCAAUAUGAGUUGGAAUGCUCUGCCACAGAUUGGACAUAGUCUCAUGAGCACCAGGGCAGAUUCUCUAACUUUAUGCAUCUCGUGUUUCUUCUGAACCAAUUCAAUUCUGCUUUGCUCAUAGAGCACAGCACCUUCUCUGAUGAGAGCAUGCCAUACUGAGCGAUCUUGUGUCAGUGGUAGUUAGAGCACUGGCCCUGAAAUAAGGAGAGCCUGAGUUCAAAUCCAGCUUCUG
This is a long non-coding RNA of Sarcophilus harrisii (Tasmanian devil), 1553 nucleotides long. The record is from Ensembl. NCBI's taxonomy places the organism in Eukaryota, Metazoa, Chordata, Mammalia, Dasyuromorphia, Dasyuridae.